Long non-coding RNA from Homo sapiens (human), 325 nucleotides. Ensembl annotates it as long intergenic non-protein coding RNA 621. The record is from Ensembl. Lineage: Eukaryota; Metazoa; Chordata; Mammalia; Primates; Hominidae.
AGAUCCAGUUCCAAGUGCCGAACCGAACGCGGAGCCAGGAGGUGAGCUUGCGGUGCAGACAGAGCAGGGGGGCAGCACCCGCCACACCAGCUCUUACAGCCCCGUCAUACUCUUGUGGCCCUCGGGUACCCCCUCUCCCUCCCGCCCACUCCCGUGGCGCUACGGCUUUUUAUCCGCCCCUGCGCCGGCGCGGGCAUCGCUCCGCGUCCCCCCGCCCCCUAAGCCCGAACCCCUUUCCACUGCCAACACCUCACCUCGCCCCCGCCGCCAUCUUCCUCCUCCCUUGGCAGCCCCGCCCUAAAAAUAAAUAAUUUUAAAAAGCAUU